AUUAGUCGGAGGUGGAGGAGACGAUACAGGGUUAAGGUUAAGAAAAAACCCAAUUUCUUUAUCAUAAACACUUCUCCUAAAAGCGUUUGAAAGAACAGACCAAGCAUCAACCACAAGAUGAAAAGCAUGGUCAGAGAAAGGGAAAUUGUUCUUCUGAGGGUUCAAUAGGAGCGCAAGACGUCGGUACUGAUUAGCGAUAAGUUCAGAAUCAUGAGUUUGGUUGGAAGGAAUUUGAAGAAUAGAGUAAUAAUCAAGAUGCUGGUUGUUGAUCCGCUUGUCGCCGGCGAUUAGGGUGUCAACGAUUGCAAGAAUUUGGUCGGCAGGUAAAAGGGUCGGGUCGGAUUCAUGGGCACGGGUCGCAAACGAUUUGCUUCCAACUAGGUCACGGUUAGUCAAUAGCUUCUCGGCAAUUGAUAACCACCGUAUCGCCUCCGCUCUCGACGUAUUUCCAGCGCCGUUCAUGAAGAAUGGAUGUUCCAUUUUUGAGUUUUUCAACUUCAGUUCCAAGAAAAGAAAGAAAUUGAAGUGAAG
Molecule: unclassified non-coding RNA, 531 nt
Filed under: Hevea brasiliensis (rubber tree)
Lineage: Eukaryota; Viridiplantae; Streptophyta; Magnoliopsida; Malpighiales; Euphorbiaceae
Source: RNAcentral